AAAAAAGAUGCCAGUUUCAAUAAGCAACUAAGAAAAAGAAAUGGAAUACAAAGAAAUGGUUCUUUAUCUGAAGCAGUUAAUUGGGCAAACCAAGAACAAAAAAGCCGAGGUAACUAAACACAUUAACGAGAAAUGGAAUUCAGUUGUCAAAAAUUGUGUCCAAAUAGCAUAAUAUAUUUAGGUUUUGGGAAAAAAUGAAAGAAGAAAAGGGAGGUUAUGCUGCAGCCUAUACUUCAUAGUUCCCUUUGGCAAUCCUUAAAUCUUAUGCUAGCUAAACUAGUACACAAACAUUGUCCACCUCCAAUAUACAUAUUUAGCAACUGCUCAAGUGAAUUUGCUAAUUUUCUAUUUCUAUUCGCGCUAAUUAAAUUGAAAGAAGCAUAAUCUUUGUCAAUAGAUCGAGAUUUAAUUUCCAAUUGAAAGUUAAUGCAAACUCAAUCUUUUGGCAAAUUUAUUGAAGCCAGAGAACUCAAUUCAUAUGAGCAGAGUGAACAUACCCG
This 500-nucleotide unclassified non-coding RNA is filed under the name Hevea brasiliensis (rubber tree). The record is from RNAcentral. Lineage: Eukaryota; Viridiplantae; Streptophyta; Magnoliopsida; Malpighiales; Euphorbiaceae.